This 429-nucleotide ribosomal RNA is filed under the name Chloroflexota bacterium. Its description in RNAcentral is "Chloroflexi bacterium partial 16S ribosomal RNA". It matches the Rfam family "Bacterial small subunit ribosomal RNA", at positions 355 to 776 of the family's 1533-position model. The record is from RNAcentral. Lineage: Bacteria; Bacillati; Chloroflexota.
UGGGGAAUAUUGCACAAUGGGCGCAAGCCUGAUGCAGCCAUGCCGCGUGUAUGAAGAAGGCCUUCGGGUUGUAAAGUACUUUCAGCGGGGAGGAAGGGAGUAAAGUUAAUACCUUUGCUCAUUGACGUUACCCGCAGAAGAAGCACCGGCUAACUCCGUGCCAGCAGCCGCGGUAAUACGGAGGGUGCAAGCGUUAAUCGGAAUUACUGGGCGUAAAGCGCACGCAGGCGGUUUGUUGAGUCAGAUGUGAAAUCCCCGGGCUCAACCUCGGAACUGCAGCUGAUACUGGCAAGCUUGAGUCUCGUAGAGGGGGGUAGAAGUCCAGGUGUAGCGGUGAAAUGCGUAGAGAUCUGGAGGAAUACCGGUGGCGAAGGCGGCCCCCUGGACGAAGACUGACGCUCAGGUGCGAAAGCGUGGGGAGCAAACAGG